RNAcentral lists this transfer RNA (72 nucleotides) under Camelus bactrianus (Bactrian camel). It matches the Rfam family "tRNA". Rfam says of the family: Transfer RNA (tRNA) molecules are approximately 80 nucleotides in length. Lineage: Eukaryota; Metazoa; Chordata; Mammalia; Artiodactyla; Camelidae. RNAcentral also lists the same sequence under 2 other names. The record is from Rfam by way of RNAcentral.
GAAGGCAUAAGUCAGUGGUAGACUGUGUGCUUAGCAAGCUCAAGGUCGCGGGUUCAAUCCCCAGUACUUCCA